UUGCGGCGUGCUUAACACAUGCAAGUCGAACGGAAAGGCCCUGCUUUUGUGGGGUGCUCGAGUGGCGAACGGGUGAGUAACACGUGAGUAACCUGCCCUUGACUUUGGGAUAACUUCAGGAAACUGGGGCUAAUACCGGAUAGGAGCUCCUGCUGCAUGGUGGGGGUUGGAAAGUUUCGGCGGUUGGGGAUGGACUCGCGGCUUAUCAGCUUGUUGGUGGGGUAGUGGCUUACCAAGGCUUUGACGGGUAGCCGGCCUGAGAGGGUGACCGGCCACAUUGGGACUGAGAUAUGGCCCAGACUCCUACGGGAGGCAGCAGUGGGGAAUAUUGCACAAUGGGCGGAAGCCUGAUGCAGCAACGCCGCGUGCGGGAUGACGGCCUUCGGGUUGUAAACCGCUUUCGCCUGUGACGAAGCGUGAGUGACGGUAAUGGGUAAAGAAGCACCGGCUAACUACGUGCCAGCAGCCGCGGUGAUACGUAGGGUGCGAGCGUUGUCCGGAUUUAUUGGGCGUAAAGGGCUCGUAGGUGGUUGAUCGCGUCGGAAGUGUAGUCUUGGGGCUUAACCCUGAGCGUGCUUUCGAUACGGGUUGACUUGAGGAAGGUAGGGGAGAAUGGAAUUCCUGGUGGAGCGGUGGAAUGCGCAGAUAUCAGGAGGAACACCAGUGGCGAAGGCGGUUCUCUGGGCCUUUCCUGACGCUGAGGAGCGAAAGCGUGGGGAGCGAACAGGCUUAGAUACCCUGGUAGUCCACGCUGUAAACGGUGGGUACUAGGUGUGGGGUCCAUUCCACGGGUUCCGUGCCGUAGCUAACGCUUUAAGUACCCCGCCUGGGGAGUACGGCCGCAAGGCUAAAACUCAAAGGAAUUGACGGGGCCCCGCACAAGCGGCGGAGCAUGCGGAUUAAUUCGAUGCAACGCGUAGAACCUUACCUGGGUUUGACAUGGAUCGGGAGUGCUCAGAGAUGGGUGUGCCUCUUUUGGGGUCGGUUCACAGGUGGUGCAUGGCUGUCGUCAGCUCGUGUCGUGAGAUGUUGGGUUAAGUCCCGCAACGAGCGCAACCCUUGUUCACUGUUGCCAGCACGUUAUGGUGGGGACUCAGUGGAGACCGCCGGGGUCAACUCGGAGGAAGGUGGGGAUGACGUCAAGUCAUCAUGCCCCUUAUGUCCAGGGCUUCACGCAUGCUACAAUGGCUGGUACAGAGAGUGGCGAGCCUGUGAGGGUGAGCGAAUCUCGGAAAGCCGGUCUCAGUUCGGAUUGGGGUCUGCAACUCGACCUCAUGAAGUCGGAGUCGCUAGUAAUCGCAGAUCAGCAACGCUGCGGUGAAUACGUUCCCGGGGCUUGUACACACCGCCCGUCAAGUCAUGAAAGUUGGUAACACCCGAAGCCGGUGGCCUAACCGUUGUGGGGGAGCCGUCGAAGGUGGGACUGGUGAUUAGGACU
This 1438-nucleotide ribosomal RNA is filed under the name uncultured organism. RNAcentral's name for it is "partial small subunit ribosomal RNA". It matches the Rfam family "Bacterial small subunit ribosomal RNA". The record is from RNAcentral.